CUUGUUGUUUUAGUGAUUUGAAUAGCUUUAUCUCUAAUAAUUGAAACACUUGGCCAAUUGCAAGUUUUUUUCCUUUUUGCAUCUUCUCUGAAAAGUGGAAAAAUGGGAGCCUCAAAACAACUCUUAAAUGACCUGAAAACAAAGAUUGUUCAACAUCAUGGUUUAGGGGAAGCAUACAAAAAGCUCUGUCAGAGAUUUCAGCUGUCAGUUACCCCUGUGAGGAACAUAGUGAGGAAAUGGAAGACCACACGCACAGUUCUAGUUAAGGCCUGAAGUGGCAGACCAAGAAACAUCUCAGAUAAGCAGAAGGAUGUUGAGAAUAGUCAUAGUCAAUCCACAGACCAGCUCCAGAGAUUUCAUUCUGUGGGGCAGUGUGAUCAGUGCAGGUACUGGGAAUCUUGUUAAAGUUGAGGGGUGCAUUAUUCCAGUCAAUAUCAGCAGAUUAUUAAGAACAAUGUUCACAGAUCAGGAACGAAGCUGAAGCUGUGCUGGGGCUGGAUACUUCAACUUGACAACGACCCUAAACACUGCUCAAAGUCUAUUAAAGCACUCAUACAGAGGAACAAGUAGAACUUUUUGGAUAACUCAAAGAUCUUCAAAUUGGAUAUUUACUGCACGGGUGAUUAUGUUUCAGCUGACAAGUUAUUGAAUUCUAACUAAUGCAAUGAGAAGCUUUUCAUUUGUUAAACUCAUUUUGUGUCCUUGAAAAUAUGUUUGUCUGUUUCAGAAGAGUCAAAUUAUCCGAAAAUAUUAAAUUAUGGUAAUUGGCGAUCACUUUAACUUUGUGGUACAAAAACAAUACCAGAGAUAUGUUUAAAAGUGAAGGUAAGAGCAUUUUCACAAGCACAAUGUGAAGGGAAUUCAAGGGAUUGGGGCUAAUCAGCUGUGUAGCUUUAAGAUAACCACUUACCAGUGAGACUAAUCGACAAAAACAACUUCAAUUUGCUAAGGAGCAUAAAGAUUGGAAUCUGGAGCGAUGGAAGGAGAACAUGUGCUUUGAGGAAUCAUGAUUUACCCUGUUCUAGAGUGAUGGGUGCAUCAGGGUUCGGAAAGAGGUGGCUAAAGUAAUGCACCCAUCAUAGUGCAUGUCACAGAAUCCAGACCUGAACCUUAUUGAGAAUUUUUGGGAUGUGCCGGAGAAGACUUUGCACAGUGGUCAAAAUCUCCCAUCAUCAAUACCAGAUCUUGGGGAAAACUAUUGUUGUAACAUUGCAGAGGUGUGUGGAAAAAAUGCGAUAGAGUACAGUAUGCAUACUGUAAUUUAAUCAAAGCUAAAGGAAUCCAUGUAUUUAUUUAUCUCAGUCCAUCUCUUUGCAAGCUGUUUGUUUUUUUUAUUUAUAGUGAUCAAGCUACAUUUCAGCAAAUUACAAAAGCAGUAUGAAUGUUUCAAACAGCAUAUAGAUAAAUUCAACAGAGUAAAUAAAUGGCAGCUCUGAAACAAAAUGUGCAUUCAUACUCUGACUGCUGUGUGAAGCAUUUUAGACAAAAUUCACUUUUAAAAUGAUUUCAGAAGCUGUGUAUAGAUACCCUCUUCUUUAAACAAAAGUUCCCUCAGGUAUUUCUGCUCCCAGCUGCCUGUGAUGCUGUAUCUGUUUGCUUACAUCCGUAAAUGUGUUUAGCUCUGUGCAGCAGUCUGCUAUGAAUGCUGGCCAAAUAGAAAGAGUUUAGCCGUCUGUGGACUGAGAAAACCCUAAACAAAUCAGGAACAAUGUAAACACUGUCCGGUCUGCCCGCAGGAAUGUGCCUACGCUUUCACUUUGUACACAAAGCACCAGCACACGGGCAAAAACUGACCUGCAGCCUCCACUCUGGGGGCCUUUUAAAGACAGUCAUUCUGCCUCAUUGGACACUGCACAAACACACGCACACACAAAUACACCAUACAAUUCAAGCUAAUUACUGUCAAAUAUUUCCUUAUUGGAAACCCAUUUAAUAUAGUCAUUUAGCCUAAACUAUACAGCCUACAGUAGCCUACAUAUACAGCCUUAGCCAUUGAACCUAUCGCAGAUUAGUCCCAGCAAUUUGGCCUACAACAUUUUAUUCCUGUGUGAUUAAAGCUCAUACUGUAGCACAUAAGAGUAGCAGAAUAAAAUGAACAAGAACAUAUUUAUUUACCACAGAAUGUGAUAGAGGCGAGUUUUGAAAAGCCCAUUCAUUUUGCUAUAGACAAAUACAGCUUAGACACAAACCCCCAAGUGUUGGAAAUUCCCUGGGAGCAGGUAAACUACAUAGACCAUAAUUCUUUGCAGCAGGAUAAGGCGGGGCUUAGAGGUUAAAAUGGCACUGUCGGCCAUUUUUUUAUUUCUUUGUUUGGCAUGGUCUGAGAAUUUGAACCUCUUUUGGAUUGUGGACUGAGCUUCCAAUGGAUGUGUGUUUGUAUAAAACCAUCCAUCCUGUAGAUACAACCAUCCUGUAUAAUCUCUCCAUUCACCCUAUGUCUCCCUACAUCAUCUUCCUUCCUCCAUCCAUCCUUUCCUCAGCCAUGCAUUAACUGUCCAUUCAUGCACCUGCUCUGCCUCAUUGUGAAAUAUGCAGUGACUCUGAGAAUAAACUGCAUCAGUUGAAGUCUGUUCAUCCUCCUGUGUUUUAAUGGACACGCAUCACGACAGCCACCCUUCCACCAAAUGCAAUCCAACUAAACUUUACACCAAGUAUGGUCAUACGAUGACUACAGAAGGAUGCAUGACUUUAGUGGUCUAUUCUAUUAGUCCCACCCAUUUAGCUGAAAGAGGUUAAGACCACCAAUUUAGCCUACAGUAGUUUAGCUCCGCCCAUUCAACUUACAGCAGAGCCCCAGUCAUUUAACCUGCAGAAAUUUAGCCCCACCCAUUCAUCAUAAAGCAGUUAAGACCACCCAUUCAGCCUACAGCCAUUUAGCCCAUCCUUCAGCAAUGUAGAAAUGAAAUAUUCCAUUAAUAAUAAUCAGGAGAAUGUCUUCAGUAUCUAAGUCAAAAUUAGCAAAUACAUAAAUGAAUAAACAAUCUUGAAAAACAAAACCUUUCAGAAAAAAAUCUUAUAUCUGACUAAAGUCACAUAUAUUCUGUAGAAAUGUUCUGAAAAUCUUCAUCUAAACAGCUUAGGCAUGGUGUUCUUGCUCACAGAACACCUUCGCAGUCAUCUAAAACAAAUACCAAAUGUUUUCCUACUGGUACUUCUGAGUGCAGCCUUAGAUCACACUAUCCUUUUAGAAGGAUUAAAGAACAUGGUCGGUGUAACUGGAACUGCCAUAUCAUGGUUCAAAUCAUACUUAACCGAUCGUUAUCGGUUUGUGAGGAUAAAUGAAAUGUCUUCCAGUUAUACUAAGCUAAAAUAUGGAAUUCCACAAGGCUCUAUAUUAGGACCGUGAUUAUUUACAUUAUAUAUGCUCCCACUGGGCAAAGUUAUUAGAAAAGGGUUAUUGUUAUGUGGAUGACAAGCAGCUCUUCAUAUCAGCCAAACCUGAUGACAGAGUGAGAAUUAAGAAAAUUGAGUAUUGUGUAAAAGUUGUAAAAUCCUGGAUGUCGCACAACUUCCUCCUAUUAAAUAGUGAUAAAACAGAAGUUCUCCUACUAGGCCCCAAAGCUGCUAGAAGUAAAUUAUCAGACUUGAUGCUAAAUCUGGCCGACUUCUCUAUCACUCCUGGUUCAGCAGCUAAAAAUCUUGGAGUUAUUAUAGAUUCAGAUCUAGCAUUCGAUAAACACAUAUCUAAUGUUACUAGAACAGCUUUUCUACACCUCCGUAACAUUGCCAAGCUAAGAAAUGCCCUAUCACUGCAUGACGCAGAAAAAUUAGUACAUGCCUUCAUUACCUCAAGGCUAGAUUAUUGUAAUGCGCUACUGUCUGGAUGUUCCUGCAGUAACUUAAAUAAACUUCAGCUAAUUCAAAAUGCUGCAGCCAGGGUCCUCACUAAAACUAGAAAAUUUGAGCAUAUUAGUCCAGUCCUGUCAGCAAUGCACUGGCUUCCAGUCAAAUUCCGCAUAGACUAUACUAUUCUUCUUUUAACGUAUAAAGCCCUACACGGGCUCGCUCCUGAGUAUUUAUGAGACCUCAUCUCCUAUUAUGAACCACCACAAUUACUUAGAUCUCAGGGUGCUUUUAUUAGUAGUUCCUAAAAUUUAGAGGAGCUCUGCAGAAGGAAGAGCUUUCUCUUAUAAAGCUCCCCAACUUUGGAAUAAUCUUCCUGAAUAUGUUUGGGACUUAGACUUAGUUUAGCUUUUGGUAAUUAAUGUUUCUCCCUUUAGAUAAGGCUGCAGAUCCAGGGGUUCAUGGACAGAGGGAAUUGUUGUAAACUGAGAUGCUGGUGCUGUUGUUCUCCCACUGCACACGGUCACUCAGGUUUGUGGACGGUGGAGUAAAUGGAUGCCGGUGUUUCAGGGUGCCUCUGUGUCUGUUAUCUUCUCCUUUAGUUAGGCUGUUUUAUUUAGAUCUGCCGGAGUCAUUAGCCACACUAAUAUUCUAUGUUUUCUGUUUUACAUAAAUCCAGUUAAAACUAAUUCCAUCUCUCUGCCUUCCUCCGAGUUACUGACUGCCCACCUGUCUCACCCAAUACCGAUAGAUGUUGGACCCCAGGCUCUCAUGUCUCCUGUCCAGCCAGACUGAUGGAAGUUUCUGAAGUCAGCUCUUCUCCAUCACCCACCACAGAUCAGCUGCUCAUCAUCCAUCUUACUCUCCACUGAUUACAUCCAAGCUUCCAUGAACUCUAAUGGCUUCCAUUAGUGGUGCUGCUAUACUCCUGAAUUUAUAAAACCUAUGUGGACAUAUAAAAACUUUAAAAAAUUCAUUUAAAAACAUUUGACCAGUGGUAGGAUGGUCCCCCCUUAAAUGUGAGUUUUGGUCCUCUCAGUGUUUCUUCUUCCUCCUUCAGCUCUGAGGGAGUUUUUCCUUGCCUCUGCGCUCACUGGGGGUUUCUUUAUUUCUUUAAUGUUUUGCCUGAUUCUUUGUCCUGUGAUCAUGUUUCUGUAAAGCUGCUUUGUGACAACACCAGUUGUAAAAAGCGCUAUACAAAUAAAUUUGAUUUGAU
Long non-coding RNA from Astyanax mexicanus (Mexican tetra), 4999 nucleotides. RefSeq lists it as uncharacterized. The transcript is spliced from 2 exons. The record is from RefSeq and is a predicted model, not a curated record. NCBI's taxonomy places the organism in Eukaryota, Metazoa, Chordata, Actinopteri, Characiformes, Acestrorhamphidae.